Non-coding RNA from Electrophorus electricus (electric eel), 1647 nucleotides. NCBI's taxonomy places the organism in Eukaryota, Metazoa, Chordata, Actinopteri, Gymnotiformes, Gymnotidae. The record is from RefSeq and is a predicted model, not a curated record.
GAACGAGUGUGCAUGCAUGCAUGCGUGUGCGCCUCCACAGGGCUCUCUCUCUCUCACACACAGAGACAGAGCCUGCAUCCCUCUCCCAGACCCAGGCUGUCAUCACGGACUAUGGGAGGCGCCUCUACCUCGGCGUCGCUGUAGAGACACAGCGUGAGGCAUCAGCAGUAGCAGCCUCAGCACGAGUGGCUGCUGUCGCCGCAGCAACGCAAGCUUCCUCGACGACGGGAGUUCCUGGGGGGGAAAGUGCUCUCUUCUCGCGCGCUUAGGCACACGCCACCGGUGCUCCACCUGCCUCGUUCUCCUCCCACCGCCUCAUGCUCUUCCUCUAGCCCUUGUCCUCCUCCAGGUUCCUUCUCUCCUCUGACUAACGGACAGCGCUGGAGGAAUCAUCCUCAGCAGCCCAAAAGGACUCAGGUGAAACAGACAUGAUUUCAGCACUGACAGGAGAGGCGUUUAGGCCUUCAAUGUCACCCCCAAUCAUCCCCCCACUGACCUAAAGCAGAGGGCAAAGGGCAGAGGUGUGGGCUGAAGUGCUCCAGUGCCUCUACCCUGUGGCAGCAGUAGCACAGAGCCUGGAGCCGUGACGGCAGCCAGACCUCCUCUCCCGUCUGACUCCCUGCGGGAACAGCCACGGAAUUUACCUACGCCGGCCACUUCUGCUAAAGCCCCUUCCUCCAGAAUCUCACAGCAGGGAACGGUGUCCCGGCAGACUGGAUUUUGUGCACUUUCAAAAGGAAUUGAAUUGAGAGCUGUCUCUGGGGUGACAGUUUACAAUGUUUUCCAAAGAAUUCGGAGAGCCGCAGUAGUUUCUUUAUCAUGAGGAGAGGCGCGGCAGGGGGGUUUGGAUCGAGCACACGCCAUUCGCCCUGAGGACAGGAGAGUUGCUGUGCUAUUCAUCAUGCAAAAAAAAAAGAGCUCUCACCAUACUCUUCCUCGGAGAACUCCCAUCGUUUCUCAAACCCACAUUAAGAACAAAAGGAGAUCCGUGCAGGACUUUGGGAAUAUCUGAUCUUCUGGAAUCUUUUGCCUUUGCCGCCUCCUUUCAAAAAGACAACAGUUUAAUAAAGCAGGUUUUUGUGAACAAGGCCUGUUUUCUCCAUUGAGAGUAAAAUAAUUCCUGAAGCGACACUCUGUUAAGAAUAGAUUCUUCUAGUCUGAAUUCUGUGUGGGUGUACAAAGUGGACCAUCACACAGGAUGGCAAUCGAAGAGGCAAUUUCUUCUCAAUAGUCCUCCGUACAACUGAAUAUGUUCUUCGGGAGUAUCUGCACUACACUGACUGUAGAUUGUAGACCCACAGAUUGUAGACCCACCACAUCCCUAAAGAUGUCUGCGGUCCCAGAGGUGUGAUGUGAUGAAACGCAUGUCUACUGCCCAGUUACCCCUGCCCAACCUUUCUCCGUAGCGUCUCCAUUCCUGCACUGUGCCUUUCCCCAGCUCUUCUUGGAUUUUGGUCCCAAGACGUUGUCCGAUGCCCCACGCACCCCCCUCUGCUCCGCCGUCCCCCUCCAGAGCUCGUGGACCUGGCCCAGCAGUGUGUGGGAGGAGGCUUCCCCGGGUCUCCUGGCCCCCCGAGCACGUCUAAGAUGCUGGAGCCCGCUGGAGCGGCCCGAGCCCCACAUCGGAUCGGCAGCAGCACCGCGCCC